RNAcentral lists this ribosomal RNA (450 nucleotides) under uncultured bacterium. RNAcentral's name for it is "bacterial SSU rRNA". It matches the Rfam family "Bacterial small subunit ribosomal RNA", at positions 29 to 524 of the family's 1533-position model. The record is from RNAcentral.
AACGAACGCUGGCGGCAGGCCUAACACAUGCAAGUCGAGCGGGGGGGUAACCCCUAGCGGCGGACGGGUGAGUAACGCGUGGGAACGUGCCCUUUGCUUCGGAAUAGCCCCUGGAAACGGGGAGUAAUACCGGAUGUGCCCUACGGGGGAAAGAAUUUCGGCAAAGGAUCGGCCCGCGUUGGAUUAGGUAGUUGGUGGGGUAAUGGCCUACCAAGCCGACGAUCCAUAGCUGGUUUGAGAGGAUGAUCAGCCACACUGGGACUGAGACACGGCCCAGACUCCUACGGGAGGCAGCAGUGGGGAAUCUUAGACAAUGGGCGCAAGCCUGAUCUAGCCAUGCCGCGCGAGCGAUGAAGGCCUUAGGGGUUGUAAAGCUCUUUCGUGGGGGAAGAUAAUGACGGUACCCCAAGAAGAAGCCCCGGCUAACUCCGUGCCAGCAGCCGCGGUAAU